UCGCAGUUUUAGGAGUCGGUGAUUAGGCUGGUUUUUUGGGUUACUUUUUCGCUCCGAUUCCUGUAUUUCAUAGUGUUUGGCUUUUGAAUAUUUUAGUUCUUUCAGAGAAAUAUUACUUGCCUUACAGAUUUUGUAAAAAUGUUUCAAUUUUUAUAAGCCGAACGUUAGAGUCCUAAAACAAUACAUCAGUACUACUAUUAUUGUAAACAAACAAACGGAGCACCACUUGGGCUCUCCACUUGGCUCUGUUCCAAGGCCUUUUUCGAGUUCAUCUGGAGGUUUUCGUACUCGUGUACUCGUGAGAUCAAUACUGAAGAGUACGCCGAGCAGUAUCAAGCCAGAAAAUGUUUGCUGAUGAUGAUUGCAUAUUGUCUAUUGAUGUAUUGGGAUGAAUAAUUAAUUAUAACUUAUAACAGCAAGAUUAUAACUAUGAAGCGCUGACUAUGAAGUGAAAAAAUCUAGAAUGAGCGAACUCAGGCAGCUUUACUUUGCUAUGCAGAUGGUAAUGUGCAUUACUCAAGUGUCUGGCAAAUGAAACUUUGCAUUUCUUGAAAAAGGAUUUCAGUAAAAUUGUGAAUGUGACAAGCCAUGCAACGAUAUGAUCAUAUAAUACGUGUUAAUAGUCAUUCGUGACAAUGAUCUUUGGUCCAAUAUACAAUAGCAAAGCUC
Long non-coding RNA from Amphibalanus amphitrite, 669 nucleotides. RefSeq lists it as uncharacterized. The transcript is spliced from 2 exons. NCBI's taxonomy places the organism in Eukaryota, Metazoa, Arthropoda, Thecostraca, Balanomorpha, Balanidae. The record is from RefSeq and is a predicted model, not a curated record.